RNAcentral lists this long non-coding RNA (365 nucleotides) under Oryza sativa aromatic subgroup. RNAcentral describes it as "lncRNA OsARC_08g0010680". Lineage: Eukaryota; Viridiplantae; Streptophyta; Magnoliopsida; Poales; Poaceae. The record is from RNAcentral.
AUCGACGCCAUCCCCUCCGCCCCAUCGAUCACCAGUUCGCCGGCGGCUGCCUUCCUCUUCCCCGACCUGCGUUCUUCCCCACCCACCACCUGUGAUUGUAGGGUUGCCCCGUGGUGGUUGCCACUGGUUAUAGUCGUCGUCCAGCUAUCUCCAUCGGUCAGGCUGUCAGCGCGCUGGCCGCACCCAACAAGGCUCCCGAUUGUUGCCCUGGUCGAGCGGCUGCCAUCUGCCAGCCCGUCUGCUCUGGACGGCUGCCUCCAUCCUCGUUUGAAUGAUGUCAGCCUCUUCUGGGCCAUCAACACCUAAACCAGCUCGCAAGCGCAGGCAACCCGAGAGAGCUUUUAUACCUUCAGGUUAGCUCCAAG